AGUGAACGCUGGCGGUAGGCCUAACACAUGCAAGUCGAACGGCAGCACAGUAAGAGCUUGCUCUUACGGGUGGCGAGUGGCGGACGGGUGAGGAAUACAUCGGAAUCUACUUUUUCGUGGGGGAUAACGUAGGGAAACUUACGCUAAUACCGCAUACGACCUACGGGUGAAAGCAGGGGAUCUUCGGACCUUGCGCGAUUGAAUGAGCCGAUGUCGGAUUAGCUAGUUGGCGGGGUAAAGGCCCACCAAGGCGACGAUCCGUAGCUGGUCUGAGAGGAUGGUCAGCCACACUGGAACUGGGACACGGUCCAGGCUCCUACGGGAAGCAGCAGUUGGGAAUAUUGGACAAUGGGCGCAAACCUGGUCCAGCCAUACCGCGUGGGUGAAAGAGGCCUUCGGGUUGUAAAGCCCUUUUGUUGGGAAAGAAAAGCAGCAGGUUAAUACCCCGCUGUUCUGACGGUACCCAAAGAAUAAGCACCGGCUAACUUCGUG
RNAcentral lists this ribosomal RNA (492 nucleotides) under uncultured bacterium. RNAcentral's name for it is "partial 16S ribosomal RNA". It matches the Rfam family "Bacterial small subunit ribosomal RNA", at positions 29 to 507 of the family's 1533-position model. The record is from RNAcentral.